GCCCAUUCCUCUAUUUUUUUUUAAAGAAUAUUCCUGUUCAUUGGGCUAUCAAACUACCUUGAUUUACUUUAGUCCAUCAUGUUUCCUUGAGUUUCUUAGGUCAUCCAUCUUCAUGGAUAUUUUUAAUUCAUUCCCUUUCCUACAGUUUGUUUAGGCCAACAAAGUUCCCUCAAUUCUUUGAGGGCAUACACCUUCCUAGGGAUUACUUAGCAAACUCCCACCUCCUUUAGUGUAGUAGGGCAUCCCUAUCCAGUCGUUUCUUUAGCGCAACUCCAUUUCUUGAUUUUUUUUUUUUAGCACAACCACUUUUUUUGGGAUUGGCAAUCGUCCUUAGUAGAGUUUGUUUGUGGCGUGCCCUUUCUUUGAAUCUUAUUAGUGAAUCCGCCUUCUUAAAGUACAUUUACGAUUUUGUUCAUCCAUUGGUUUUUUAAGGGCAUCCCGCUUGCUUGAAUUUUCUUAGUGCGUCCCCCUUCCUUGACUUUGUUGAGAGAACUCCCC
Molecule: long non-coding RNA, 498 nt
Filed under: Vitis vinifera (wine grape)
Lineage: Eukaryota; Viridiplantae; Streptophyta; Magnoliopsida; Vitales; Vitaceae
Description: long non-coding RNA (VVIN_LNC007333)
Source: RNAcentral